RNAcentral lists this microRNA precursor (97 nucleotides) under Nomascus leucogenys (northern white-cheeked gibbon). RNAcentral's name for it is "mir-544 microRNA precursor family". It matches the Rfam family "mir-544 microRNA precursor family". The record is from Rfam by way of RNAcentral. Lineage: Eukaryota; Metazoa; Chordata; Mammalia; Primates; Hylobatidae.
ACCACCUGGAAUCUUUCUAAAAUGCAGAUUCUGAUUCAGUCGAUUUGGAUCAGGGCCUGAGAUUCUGCAUUUCCAACAAGCUCCCAGGUGAUGCUGA